Molecule: long non-coding RNA, 2329 nt
Organism: Mus pahari (shrew mouse)
Lineage: Eukaryota; Metazoa; Chordata; Mammalia; Rodentia; Muridae
Exons: 4
Source: RefSeq, a predicted model, not a curated record
AGUUUGCAGGCUGGCAAACAGGCUGGAAAAGCCCUUGAGAGACUCAGACAGCUCACGCCAUGCUUCAGACUUCAUAGACCUGGGAGACAUCCAGCUUUCUCCCCCAGAGAAGCCGCAGCCUGGUCCCUUCCCCUGCCACACCAUCUGGUCCACAGAAACACCAGACUUCCGUGUCUCUCAGCCCUAUAAAAAGCAACAUUCCUUAUCCUGUCUUCUCUCCACCAGUCCCUCCCGCCCACCCGUGUCUCCUCUCUCCUUGCCUUUGGUCUUUCUGUCUUAUUCCUUCUCCCCUGCCAAUCACUUCCUUUCUUCCCAACACUCCUCCUCCAUCUCCCCUCUGUGCACCUGCAGUGCUAUUCUUUGUCUAACGAUGAAAACAUCCUGAUGGGCUUCUAGAACAUUCGUAUGUCUGGAGGAGUCAGAGUCCUCCAGUACCGGGGUUGGCAAUUCUGCCUCCUUAGCUUCCAGGACAGCAUUUAUUCCGAGGCUUUGUGCGCCCUCUUGUGGUUUCUCCGUCAUGCCAACUCCCGCAGACAAUGGCUGCUUUGUCCAGGAGAGAGGAUUUAGAUGACAACUGGGCUUAAACCUCAGAAAUCUUCAAUCUCUGCUUCUUCAAACAGUUUGUAUUAGAAGGGUGGCUGGGAAAAAUGAAGUCCUUAUGCACGGAGCCACCGCGUUUCACGGCGAUGUUCACCUGGCCCAUGAAGAUCUCCGGACAUAAAACCAGGCAACAAAAUCAGGAUGCAACAGGCUGGAGGGGCAAAGCACAGAAGUGGAAUGGGUCCUGCCAUAGGAUGGUGAUGCGUCCGAUCUUGUGCAGGUCUUGUACACAGAAGAGCAGCAGCUGCAAGCUCAGGAAUGAAACGGCCACACCGUGCACAGAAGACAGUGCCCCAUGAUGGAUUCUCCGUUUCUUCCUCAGACACCCACUGUGAAGAAACACUUGAGUGUCACUGGCCAUGAGAGUCAUCUGGAUUUCAGUGAUAACUGGAUCCUCCUCCUGUUCCCAAGGCUACCCAUCAAGAGCUCACACUGCUACCGUUUCUCACACAUCGCUUGCUUGAUAGCCUAUGGAUAUCCUCAAAGCUCCUUGCUCCCUCUGGAAUCCACACUUCCCUGUGCAAAUCCAUGGAAAUAAAAAGAUAUACCUUUAUCCUCCUAAAAGAUCGGUUGGGACAGAGGUGCAUCUUACUCCUGGGCCACUGCUGCUGUUCAAGACUUGUUUGGUCAGAGGAUUGCACUGGACCCUGCUUCUUCAGAAUGCUUUAGAUCAAAGAGUAGCAAUAGCUUUCAUAUGCUUGCUUGAGUACCCUAAGUCUAGAGAAUUCAUGUCAGUUUUUCUAGACAGUUCUCGCCGCAUAGUUUGGUCUGGCUCAUUACACUUCUAACAAAGACAUCAUACACACACUCUCUUCUUGCAAGUACUCCAGUCUCUGUACACAGCUUUCUCAGUGAAAAGGGAGGAAUUAAAUUUAAAAUAUAUUAUAUGUAUGCAUGAAAAUAUAACAAGAAAAGCCAUCAGUCUUGUACAACUGAAUAAAUUAUCGAUCAUGUAGGUAAGAAAAGCAGACCUUCUGCAACACAUUUGACCCCAGAUCAGAUCUUAAGGAAAUAAACUUGAAUAUUGUUUCAUUUUCCUGGAACACAUUUCAUGUUUCAAAAUUCUUAGAAUAUGGACCAAAAUAAGGGUGGUUAUUUCCUUCUUAAUGAAGCUUUCAGAAAGAUUAUUUCCCAGAAAGUUUACAGGAAGAUGACAAAGAACCACUGUUCCUUCCCAUGUUCCCCUCCAGUCUUGCCUUGGUUGUCUUGUGAGUCCUGUGAGCAUCUCUUGUUGUCUGGAAGCCACAGUAUCUCAGCUUUACAAAAGGAAACUCCAGAGACAACCUGUGUUACAAUACAAGAAGCUAGCACUCCUCCACCAUAGAGAAGGUUCAUCUGCCCUGACUCGUCAGCGCUUUGCAUCCUAGGAUUGAUGGAGAAUUGCUCAGGGCCUGCUAAUGAAUAGUCAUGUACAAUGGAGGCACUUCACUAAUGGCUUGUGUGGGGGUGAAUUGUUUUGCUAAUUUAGUUAGCUCAAUGAUGCAGGUCCAGUAAGGAAGUGAAACCCCAGAACUUCCCCACCCCCAGGAGAUGACCUAACAAAGUCCAGUCAGUGUUGUAUAAUGCGAUUGUAUCAACUACCAAAUAUAAGCACAGUGUGCCCAGCAUGGUGGUACAUGCCUGUAAUCCCAGCUGAGACAGGUGGAGCAGCCUGUGCAAUAAACACAGUGAAGCUGUCUUAAAACAUCAAAAUAAAAUACACUGGAAAAAUAAAGACCUUAUUAAUCAU